Molecule: long non-coding RNA, 289 nt
Organism: Vanessa atalanta (red admiral)
Lineage: Eukaryota; Metazoa; Arthropoda; Insecta; Lepidoptera; Nymphalidae
Exons: 3
Source: RefSeq, a predicted model, not a curated record
GCGAUGUAGAACAGUUCGAUUUGGGUGAUCUAUAAAAUCAAAAUGAAAUUCCUCGCAAUGUUUCUGGCCAUUAUGGCAGUUGUCUUUGCUGUGGUGGGUGGUAUGAAUAUCGUCCCCAAUGCUGGUAUCAAAGGCAAUCGCGAGUCAGCUGGAUGCGGAGGAUAUGCACCCCCACCACCACCACCAGCGCCUACCAACAGCACCGGUUAGAUGACAGCACCAACUUCAAUUUGUCAACGGACUCGAAACACUGGCUAUCUUGAUUGCACAAAUAAAUCUUUUCAUUGAU